AGGCCUGAUUUGGCUGAUUAGGCUAGCUAGGUGAGACUCCUUCUUCCCUCUUGGUUCUAUGUGCAUUCCUCCUGAAGCCACAUAGUCAGUUGAAGAAGAGAUCCUUCCCUGAUUAAGAUAGAUCAGUCCUUGGCCAAGGGUGUAUAAGAGCUGUGCUCCCUGCAAGAAUCUCCAAACAAACUCUCUUAAGAUUCUAAUUUAUUUUUUUAAGAAUAUGAAACAGUUCAUGGAUACUACCCAUCACAUUUCCUUCUGUAGUACUGAGG
This 266-nucleotide small nuclear RNA is filed under the name Peromyscus maniculatus bairdii (prairie deer mouse). RNAcentral's name for it is "7SK RNA (ENSPEMG00000003555.2)". It matches the Rfam family "7SK RNA", at positions 49 to 331 of the family's 331-position model. From Rfam's summary of the family: 7SK was discovered as an abundant small nuclear RNA in the mid-70s but a possible function has only recently been suggested. Two independent studies have found that 7SK RNA binds the CDK9/cyclin T complex (known as elongation factor P-TEFb). Lineage: Eukaryota; Metazoa; Chordata; Mammalia; Rodentia; Cricetidae. The record is from RNAcentral.